This is a non-coding RNA of Triticum aestivum (bread wheat), 124 nucleotides long. NCBI's taxonomy places the organism in Eukaryota, Viridiplantae, Streptophyta, Magnoliopsida, Poales, Poaceae. The record is from Rfam.
UGUAUACUCCCUCCGUCCGAAAAAACUGUCCCUCAAAUGGAUGUAUCUACCACAAAGUUAGUGCUAGAACAUCCAUUUGAGAAACAAGCUUGGGACAAGCUUUUUCGGACGGAGGGAGUAUUAU